CAUUUCUGGUCUACCUUAUCCUUCCUUGUGUGCCGGUAGCUAGCUGUGAGCAGCUCGCCAGCUCCGGAUUAUGGUCACCACUGGUCACCAGCUAGCUCUGUGGUCGCGGUGACGCGGUCUCUCCAGACAGUCAACGGUUAUGUGUCAAUCAUGUGAUCGACUGAUUGCCCGUCAUGCAAAACUCCAGACUAGCGCGCUUGUGCGGACGCUUGGUCCGGAUCGGAGUCAAUCGCUUGCAGGCUGCACGCUACGCUGCUGGCGUGCGAGCUGCGAGCAUCUGCCUGGUCGCAUGGUUCAUUCUGCUGAUCUGGUUCAACAUACAGCGCGCUGCAUGCAUCGGCUUGUGGCAAAGCUCUUUGCACUGCAGUUCUUCUCCACUCAAUCGGAUCCACUCACAACCCGAAUUUCCAACCUUGCAUGCUGUGUUUCAGAUACUGGCACACUAGAGUUUGCCUUUCUCAGAAUACCUCUCUGCUGCUCCCUGCUCUGUCUCAUCGGGGUUUAUUUGCCGUAGAAGUAAGCGUUCUCCUGUCGCAGUAGAAUUUGCCGUGGUUUGCCCAGUCCCAUCGGCGUAACUGCUUGUGGUGGAACUUUGGUGCCAGCUGAUCUCCGAAAAGGAAGGCCAAAUUUAGCCAGGAACACUCGGGACGGCGUUUGUGAGAGGCUGAGAUUUGUGAGAUCAUGCUUCGUCCCUGGAGGCCGUCCUAGGAGCUGAUCGAUCUCACAUGCACAUGCACGUGCUGUACACUACCAUUCCUUGCUGUACAGUCUUGGCUGAGUUGCCAACACUCAUGAACAAUACUGCUGAGAAAGAAUGUCGGCACGUCCACAGAGUGUCUUCAUCGGGAGCGACCUUGUUGCGUGCAAGUAUCACCUCCUCAUGUCCGCUGCAUCAGCGUCACUGCCACUGGCUUCUGUCUCCUUCCACUGUGAUCAUGGUGUAUUAAGAUAGCCACGUCAACAUUCACUCGACGCUGUGGUAAUAGCGUGUCCAUCGCUGUUGCUGAUUUCCAUUUGCUGUGAAAUUUUGACGAUAUCAUGCCGCUGCUGCUGAUGAUGAUGAUGGUUCCAGUGGCCUCAGUAUCCACUGCUGUCUGCAUUCCUAGGCCACCAUCUCCACCCUCCACACUGCCCUAAUGAACGAUGAAUAGUCGGUCAACGAUGCUAAUCGUCACACUUCAAUUUUCACUUCGUUCGUACCCUUUUUGGACCCUUGCUAUUAUUAAAAUAAAAAGUGUAUAAUAUGAGAUUGACCUGAUCGCCAAUUUGCUUCUGGAGAUCUAUUGCACUGUUCUGAUAUUGUCUGAAGUUAAAUAAAAUUAAACGUACUACGAGACUGACCUGAUGGGCAACUCGCCUCUGGAGAACUCUUGCAGUGUUUUGAUAUCGUCUGAAGUGACUACCGUUCUGACUGUCUGUACUGGUAGCGACCAUGCUAACUGACUGACCAAUUGCCUCUGGAGAACUUUUUUUUGAUAUGGUCUGAAGUGAUUCCUGUACUACUGGUUAUGUCCGUGCUAACCAACUGACCAACUAUAAUUCCUAGCAGCAAACUUGAACAUCCAGUAGCUUGCGUGCAACUCUGCUUUCUGAUUGAAAGCCAUCAUGGGAUGAAACUUAACUAACGCGUGCCACCGAACCAGCUCAGAUCUAACAGCAUUGAAUAGCCGCCGCCCGCAGCCGAUGAGACUAACACAUUACUCACCUUGCCGUCGUGUGAUGUCAUAUGGUGUAGUCUUGUCUUCUAUACGUGCUGCUGCUUCCCAACACCCGCAGGAAAAACAACCGCAAGGUAGACUCCACCACCAAGAGCCUCCUGACUGCACCCGGCCGAGCCCUGCCCUGGUGCGUAUCCGUCGCCGCCUCCGCUGCUGCUUCCGUACUACGGGUCUGUCUGGUAACGCCGCUGUGAUCACGCUCGCUGUGGCGAGCACGCACGUGGCUGUUUGCCUCUGCGUGCAGCGCUUUGCUUUUACUACUGCCUAGCUAUGCUUUCUCUCCCCCCCCCCCCAUCUCCGUGUGUGCAUUAUCUCCAAUGUGCAUCUUGCUGUCCGCUGGGUCUAGUUUGCCGUAACACACGCAGAUGUGCAGCAGUCAUGCUGCUCGUCCUGCUGCAUGCAGUACAGGCUAUUCACGCGAUAUGUAAAAUUCGUUUAGCUCACACAAUGCGAUAAGUCAGGCUCUUUUUUGCAACCUGAACACGAUGUUCUGGUGUGAGUGCCCUAUACGCACAAGUCACGCACCCGCGAUAAGUCGUGCUGUUUGGUCACGAGGAUGGAGUGCUUGCCUGUGGAGAGUAGACUGUCGUAUGUUACAGUGUAGGGUAGAAUGCCUGUGGAGAGUAGACUGUCGU
Sycon ciliatum is the source of this 2353-nucleotide long non-coding RNA. RefSeq lists it as uncharacterized. NCBI's taxonomy places the organism in Eukaryota, Metazoa, Porifera, Calcarea, Leucosolenida, Sycettidae. The record is from RefSeq and is a predicted model, not a curated record. The transcript is spliced from 3 exons.